UAUUAAAGUUUUUGCGGUUAAAAAGCUCGUAGUCGAAUUUGUGUCCCGCGCCGCCGGUUCAUCGUACGCGGUGUUAACUGGCGUGUCGCGGGACGUCCUGCCGGUGGGCCUAAGUCCGCAAGGGCGUCGGCCCGACCCAAUCCCGCCGCGGUGCUCUUCAUUGAGUGUCGAGGUGGGCCGGCACGUUUACUUUGAACAAAUUAGAGUGCUUAAAGCAGGCUAAAACUUCGCCUGAAUACUGUGUGCAUGGAAUAAUGGAAUAGGACCUCGGUUCUAUUUUGUUGGUUUUCGGAACUCCGAGGUAAUGAUUAAUAGGAACGGAUGGGGGCAUUCGUAUUGCGACGUUAGAGGUGAAAUU
Molecule: ribosomal RNA, 358 nt
Filed under: Oediopalpa sp. 1 LS-2014
Lineage: Eukaryota; Metazoa; Arthropoda; Insecta; Coleoptera; Chrysomelidae
Description: SSU rRNA
Rfam family: Eukaryotic small subunit ribosomal RNA
Source: RNAcentral